CCUUUCCUUCGGGAUUGGGGACAGCGGCGAACGGGUGAGUAACACGUGGGUAAUCNGCCCUUGACAUCGGGAUAGCCCGGGGAAACCCGGAUUAAUACCGAAUAGCCUCCGGAGCCUUCGGGCGCCGGAGAAAAGGUAGCUUCGGCCUCUGGUCAAGGAUGAGCCCGCGGCGGAUUAGCUUAUUGGCGGGGUAAUGGCCCACCAAGGCGACGAUCCGUAGCUGGUCUGAGAGGACGAUCAGCCACACUGGGACUGAGACACGGCCCAGACUCCUACGGGAGGCAGCAGUGGGGAAUCUUGCGCAAAUGCGGGAAACCGUGACGCAGCGACGCCGCGUGGGGGAAGAAGGCCUUCGGGUUGUAAACCUCUUUCAGGAGGGACGAAGCUACUCGGGUUAAUAGCCCAGAGGGUGACGGUACCUUCAGAAGAAGCCCCGGCUAACUACGUGCCAGCAGCCGCGGUAAUACGUAGGGGGCAAGCGUUGUCCGGAUUUAUUGGGCGUAAAGAGCGUGUAGGCGGCCAGACAAGUCUGCUGUGAAAACUCGAGGCUCAACCUCGAGCUGUCGGUGGAAACUGUCUGGCUAGAGUCCGGAAGAGGAGAGUGGAAUUCCUGGUGUAGCGGUGAAAUGCGCAGAUAUCAGGAAGAACACCUAUGGCGAAGGCAGCUCUCUGGGACGGUACUGACGCUGAGACGCGAAAGCGUGGGGAGCGAACAGGAUUAGAUACCCUGGUAGUCCACGCCGUAAACGAUGGGUGCUAGGUGUGAGCGGUGUCGACUCCGUCCGUGCCGAAGCUAACGCAUUAAGCACCCCGCCUGGGGAGUACGGCCGCAAGGCU
Molecule: ribosomal RNA, 837 nt
Filed under: uncultured Actinomycetes bacterium
Lineage: Bacteria; Bacillati; Actinomycetota; Actinomycetes
Description: bacterial SSU rRNA
Rfam family: Bacterial small subunit ribosomal RNA
Source: RNAcentral